RNAcentral lists this transfer RNA (76 nucleotides) under Candidatus Nucleicultrix amoebiphila FS5. RNAcentral's name for it is "tRNA-Lys". It matches the Rfam family "tRNA". Rfam says of the family: Transfer RNA (tRNA) molecules are approximately 80 nucleotides in length. The record is from RNAcentral. Lineage: Bacteria; Pseudomonadati; Pseudomonadota; Alphaproteobacteria; Holosporales; Nucleicultricaceae (SeqCode).
GGGCGCUUAGCUCAGCCGGUAGAGCAUCUGACUUUUAAUCAGGGGGUCACAGGUUCGAUUCCUGUAGCGCCCACCA